Molecule: ribosomal RNA, 492 nt
Filed under: uncultured bacterium
Lineage: Bacteria
Description: partial 16S ribosomal RNA
Rfam family: Bacterial small subunit ribosomal RNA
Source: RNAcentral
AGUGAACGCUGGCGGUAGGCCUAACACAUGCAAGUCGAACGGCAGCACAGUAAGAGCUUGCUCUUACGGGUGGCGAGUGGCGGACGGGUGAGGAAUACAUCGGAAUCUACUUUUUCGUGGGGGAUAACGUAGGGAAACUUACGCUAAUACCGCAUACGACCUACGGGUGAAAUCAUGGGAUCUUCGGACCUUUCGCGAUUGAAUGAGCCGAUGUCGGAUUAGCUAGUUGGCGGGGUAAAGGCCCACCAAGGCGACGAUCCGUAGCUGGUCUGAGAGGAUGAUCAGCCACACUGGAACUGAGACACGGUCCAGACUCCUACGGGAGGCAGCAGUGGGGAAUAUUGGACAAUGGGCGCAAGCAUGAUCCAGCAAUACCGCGUGGGUGAAGAAGGCCUUCGGGUUGUAAAGCCCUUUUGUUGGGAAAGAAAAGCAGCAGGUUAAUACCCCGCUGUUCUGACGGUACCCAAAGAAUAAGCACCGGCUAACUUCGUG